GUGGGGAAUCUUGCACAAUGGGGGCAACCCUGAUGCAGCGACGCCGCGUGAGCGAUGAAGCCCUUCGGGGCGUAAAGCUCUUUCGACCGGAACGAUAAUGACGGUACCGGGAGAAGAAGCUGCGGCUAACUACGUGCCAGCAGCCGCGGUAAUACGUGGGCAGCAAGCGUUGUUCGGAGUUACUGGGCGUAAAGAGUGCGUAGGCGGUUUUCUAAGUUCGGUGUGAAAUCUCCCGGCUUAACUGGGAGGGUGCGCCGAAGACUGGGAAGCUGGAGUGUGGGAAAGGCAGGCGGAAUUCCUGGUGUAGCGGUGAAAUGCGUAGAUAUCAGGAGGAACACCGGCGGUGUAGACGGCUUGCUAAACCAUAACUGACGCUGAGGCACGAAAGCGUGGGUAGCAAACA
RNAcentral lists this ribosomal RNA (403 nucleotides) under uncultured bacterium. RNAcentral's name for it is "bacterial SSU rRNA". It matches the Rfam family "Bacterial small subunit ribosomal RNA", at positions 354 to 774 of the family's 1533-position model. The record is from RNAcentral.